GCUCAUAACCCGAAGGUCGCAGGUUCAAAUCCUGCCCCCGCAA
Molecule: transfer RNA, 43 nt
Filed under: Aeribacillus pallidus
Lineage: Bacteria; Bacillati; Bacillota; Bacilli; Caryophanales; Bacillaceae
Rfam family: tRNA
About the family: Transfer RNA (tRNA) molecules are approximately 80 nucleotides in length. Their secondary structure includes four short double-helical elements and three loops (D, anti-codon, and T loops).
Source: Rfam by way of RNAcentral